Molecule: ribosomal RNA, 429 nt
Filed under: Pseudomonadota bacterium
Lineage: Bacteria; Pseudomonadati; Pseudomonadota
Description: Proteobacteria bacterium partial 16S ribosomal RNA
Rfam family: Bacterial small subunit ribosomal RNA
Source: RNAcentral
UGGUGAAUAUUGGACAAUGGGCGAAAGCCUGAUCCAGCCAUGCCGCGUGUGUGAAGAAGGUCUUCGGAUUGUAAAGCACUUUAAGUUGGGAGGAAGGGCAGUAAGCGAAUACCUUGCUGUUUUGACGUUACCGACAGAAUAAGCACCGGCUAACUCUGUGCCAGCAGCCGCGGUAAUACAGAGGGUGCAAGCGUUAAUCGGAAUUACUGGGCGUAAAGCGCGCGUAGGCGGCUAAUUGAGUCGGAUGUGAAAUCCCCGAGCUUAACUUGGGAAUUGCAUUCGAUACUGGUUAGCUAGAGUGUGGGAGAGGAUGGUAGAAUUCCAGGUGUAGCGGUGAAAUGCGUAGAGAUCUGGAGGAAUACCGAUGGCGAAGGCAGCCAUCUGGCCUAACACUGACGCUGAGGUACGAAAGCAUGGGGAGCAAACAGG